AUUGAACGCUGGCGGCAGGCUUAACACAUGCAAGUCGAGCGGGGUGAUGGUGCUUGCACUAUCACUUAGCGGCGGACGGGUGAGUAAUGCUUAGGAAUCUGCCUAUUAGUGGGGGACAGCAUCUCGAAAGGGAUGCUAAUACCGCAUACGUCCUACGGGAGGAAGCAGGGGAUCACUUGUGACCUUGCGCUAAUAGAUGAGCCUAAGUCGGAUUAGCUAGUUGGUGGGGUAAGGGCCUACCAAGGCGACGAUCUGUAGCGGGUCUGAGAGGAUGAUCCGCCACACUGGGACUGAGACACGGCCCAGACUCCUACGGGAGGCAGCAGUGGGGAAUAUUGGACAAUGGGGGGAACCCUGAUCCAGCCAUGCCGCGUGUGUGAAGAAGGCCUUAUGGUUGUAAAGCACUUUAAGCGAGGAGGAGGCUCUUUUGGUUAAUACCCAAGAUGAGUGGACGUUACUCGCAGAAUAAGCACCGGCUAACUCUGUGCCAGCCGCCGCCGUAA
RNAcentral lists this ribosomal RNA (503 nucleotides) under uncultured bacterium. RNAcentral describes it as "partial 16S ribosomal RNA". It matches the Rfam family "Bacterial small subunit ribosomal RNA", at positions 30 to 523 of the family's 1533-position model. The record is from RNAcentral.